UACGAAGGGGGCUAGCGUUGUUCGGAUUUACUGGGCGUAAAGCGCACGUAGGCGGGUCGUUAAGUCAGGGGUGAAAUCCCGGGGCUCAACUCCGGAACUGCCUUUGAUACUGGCGACCUUGAGGCUGGAAGAGGUUAGUGGAAUUCCCAGUGUAGAGGUGAAAUUCGUAGAUAUUGGGAAGAACACCAGUGGCGAAGGCGGCUAACUGGUCCAGAUCUGACGCUGAGGUGCGAAAGCGUGGGGAGCAAACAGG
This 253-nucleotide ribosomal RNA is filed under the name uncultured bacterium. Its description in RNAcentral is "partial 16S ribosomal RNA". It matches the Rfam family "Bacterial small subunit ribosomal RNA", at positions 524 to 776 of the family's 1533-position model. The record is from RNAcentral.